This 279-nucleotide ribosomal RNA is filed under the name uncultured bacterium. RNAcentral describes it as "partial 16S ribosomal RNA". It matches the Rfam family "Bacterial small subunit ribosomal RNA", at positions 506 to 784 of the family's 1533-position model. The record is from RNAcentral.
UGCCAGCCGCCGCGGUAAUACGGAGGGGGCGAGCGUUGUUCGGAAUUACUGGGCGUAAAGGGCGCGUAGGCGGCGAGAUCAGUCAGGCGUGAAAGCCCCGGGCUCAACCUGGGAUGUGCGUUUGAUACUAUCUUGCUCGAGACCGGAAGAGGAUGGCGGAAUACCCAGUGUAGAGGUGAAAUUCGUAGAUAUUGGGUGGAACACCAGUGGCGAAGGCGGCCAUCUGGUCCGGAUCUGACGCUGAGGCGCGAAAGCGUGGGGAGCAAACAGGAUUAGAUA